AGGAGAAGUCGUAACGAGGUUUCCGUAGGUGAACCUGCGGAAGGAUCAUUGUCGAAACCUGCAAAGCAGAAAGACCAGCGGACCCAUUACAACACCCAGGGGUGACCCCAACCCCUGACGCUGAGUGUGUGCAGCCCUGCCUUGCGCCCUCAGCAUAAAACGAACCCAGGCGCGGAACGCGUCAAGGAAUCAUAACGAAACGAGCUCCUGCCGUGGCCCCGGGGACGGUGAUCGCCGCAGCAGCUGUGUUGUGCUUGGUUAAGUCUAAAAUGACUCUCGGCAACGGAUAUCUCGGCUCUCGCAUCGAUGAAGAACGUAGCGAAAUGCGAUACUUGGUGUGAAUUGCAGAAUCCCGUGAACCAUCGAGUCUUUGAACGCAAGUUGCGCCUGAAGCCAUCAGGCUGAGGGCACGUCUGCCUGGGCGUCAAACACCGAUGCCCCCCCAAAUCCCCUCGUCACUCUCCCCUGAGUGCCCGGGGAGUGUGGGGGUCGGAUGAUGGCCUCCCGUGUCUUGGCUCGCGGUUGGCCCAAAGUCGAGUCCUCGGUCACGGUUACCGUGGUGACAGGUGGUUGUCGGUCGCUCGGUACCCCGUCACGUGCGCCGGACACGAAUCGAGACUCUCUUGAUUACCCCAACGCAUCCCCGUUUGGGUGCCUCUGAUGUGACCCCAGGUCAGGCGGGGCUACCCGCUGAG
RNAcentral lists this ribosomal RNA (695 nucleotides) under embryophyte environmental sample. RNAcentral's name for it is "eukaryotic LSU rRNA". The stretch from base 272 to 427 matches the Rfam family "5.8S ribosomal RNA". Lineage: Eukaryota; Viridiplantae; Streptophyta. The record is from RNAcentral.